This 468-nucleotide ribosomal RNA is filed under the name uncultured bacterium. Its description in RNAcentral is "partial 16S ribosomal RNA". It matches the Rfam family "Bacterial small subunit ribosomal RNA", at positions 28 to 507 of the family's 1533-position model. The record is from RNAcentral.
GACGAACGCUGGCGGCGUGCUUAACACAUGCAAGUCGAACGGAAAGGCCCUGCUUUUGUGGGGUUCUCGAGUGGCGAACGGGUGAGUAACACGUGAGUAACCUGCCCUUGACUUUGUGAUAACUUCAGGAAACUGGGGCUAAUACCGGAUAGGAGCUCCUGCUGCAUGGUGGGCGUUGGAAAGUUUCGGCGGUUGGGGAUGUACUCGCGGCUUAUCAGCUUGUUGGUGGGGUAGUGGCUUACCAAGGCUUUGAAGGGUAGCCGGCCUGGGAGGGUGACCGGCCACAUUGGGACUGAGGUACGGCCCAGACUCCUACGGGAGGCAGCAGGGGGGAAUAUUGCACAAUGGGCGGAAGCCUGAUGCAGCAACGCCGCGUGCGGGAUGACGGGCUUCGGGUUGUAAACCGCUUUCGCCUGUGACGAAGCGUGAGUGACGGUAAUGGGUAAAGAAGCACCGGCUAACUACGUG